AUGGACCCUUCCUCUCUCUCCCUUACCAUGCUCACAGGAGGCGGUGGCAAUGGCAAAGUGGAGAUGCGGUGGUGUUGGAGGAUGCGGAUGCGCCAUCACGGCACUUGGAAGAAGUGGAUCUACCAGCGGCUUGGUUGGGAACUCCUUCCCUUCUUCCUUUGCAACCACUGUGACACCGAUCGACAAGCUUUGCUGAGGCGGAUUCAUCGGCAACAACCUUGGAAACACCGGGAUCUAUCUGUUGUGGGCUGCGGAGUGGAGGAGGACCUCGUCUUUGCCCUCGAGGAGGACCUCCAUGCAAAACAGCUGAUCACCUCAUCGAACUUCAAGCGGCGCGGACAAGUUCUCGGUGGCGGAUCCGGAGGCGGGCUCGACGCCGCCGUCCUCCUCCCCCACGACGGUGCGGACGAGCUCGCCGACGGCGUGGCGAGCUUGGUGGCGUCUGGCUCGCCGAAUUCGGGCGCGAGCUCGCUGGAUCUGGCGGCGGGGGCCACAACGGCGGUGGUUCCUCUUCCCCUUCCUUCUUCUCGAGCGUUGGCAGCGGAUCCGGAUGCGGGCUCGACGCCGCCGUCCUCCUCUCCCCACGACGACGCGGAAGAGCUCAUCGAUGGCGGGCUCGCCGGAUCCAGGUGCAGGCUCGCCGGAUCUGGCGGCGAGGGCCACAACGGCGGC
Molecule: long non-coding RNA, 672 nt
Filed under: Oryza sativa tropical japonica subgroup
Lineage: Eukaryota; Viridiplantae; Streptophyta; Magnoliopsida; Poales; Poaceae
Description: lncRNA OsCMeo_03g0029310
Source: RNAcentral